AGUAACGCGUGGGCAACCUGCCUUAUACAGGGGGAUAACAGCUGGAAACAGUUGCUAAUACCGCAUAAGCGCACAGUGUCGCAUGGCACAGUGUGAAAAACUAAGGUGGUAUAAGAUGGGCCCGCGUCUGAUUAGCUAGUUGGGAGGGUAACGGCCUGCCAAGGCAACGAUCAGUAGCCGGCCUGAGAGGUUGGCCGGCCACAUUGGGACUGAGAUACGGCCCAGACUCCUACGGAAGGCAGCAG
This 245-nucleotide ribosomal RNA is filed under the name uncultured bacterium. Its description in RNAcentral is "partial 16S ribosomal RNA". It matches the Rfam family "Bacterial small subunit ribosomal RNA", at positions 109 to 354 of the family's 1533-position model. The record is from RNAcentral.